AGUGAACGCUGGCGGUAGGCCUAACACAUGCAAGUCGAACGGCAGCACAGUAAGAGCUUGCUCUUACGGGUGGCGAGUGGCGGACGGGUGAGGAAUACAUCGGAAUCUACUUUUUCGUGGGGGAUAACGUAGGGAAACUUACGCUAAUACCGCAUACGACCUACGGGUGAAAGCAGGGGAUCUUCGGACCUUGCGCGAUUGAAUGAGCCGAUGUCGGAUUAGCUAGUUGGCGGGGUAAAGGCCCACCAAGGCGACGAUCCGUAGCUGGUCUGAGAGGAUGAUCAGCCACACUGGAACGGAGACACGGUCCAGACUCCUACGGGAGGCAGCAGUGGGGAAUAGUGGACAAGGGGCGCAAGCCUGAUCCAGCCAUACCGCGUGGGUGAAGAAGGCCUUCGGGUUGUAAAGCCCUUUUGUUGGGAAAGAAAAGCAGCAGGUUAAUACCCCGCUGUUCUGACGGUACCCAAAGAAUAAGCACCGGCUAACUUCGUG
Molecule: ribosomal RNA, 492 nt
Filed under: uncultured bacterium
Lineage: Bacteria
Description: partial 16S ribosomal RNA
Rfam family: Bacterial small subunit ribosomal RNA
Source: RNAcentral